GACGAACGCUGGCGGCGUGCUUAACACAUGCAAGUCGAACGGAAAGGCCCUGCGUUUGUGGGGUGCUCGAGUGGCGAACGGGUGAGUAACACGUGAGUAACCUGCCCUUGACUUUGGGAUAACUUCAGGAAACUGGGGCUAAUACCGGAUAGGAGCUCCUGCUGCAUGGUGGGGGUUGGAAAGUUUCGGCGGUUGGGGAUGGACUCGCGGCUUAUCAGCUUGUUGGUGGGGUAGUGGCUUACCAAGGCUUUGACGGGUAGCCGGCCUGAGAGGGUGACCGGCGACAUUGGGACUGAGAUACGGCCCAGACUCCUACGGGAGGCAGCAGUGGGGAAUAUUGCACAAUGGGCGGAAGCCUGAUGCAGCAACGCCGCGUGCGGGAUGACGGCCUUCGGGUUGUAAACCGCUUUCGCCUGUGACGAAGCGUGAGUGACGGUAAUGGGUAAAGAAGCACCGGCUAACUACGUG
Molecule: ribosomal RNA, 468 nt
Filed under: uncultured bacterium
Lineage: Bacteria
Description: partial 16S ribosomal RNA
Rfam family: Bacterial small subunit ribosomal RNA
Source: RNAcentral